GACAGAGGGUGCAAACGUUGUUCGGAAUUACUGGGCGUAAAGCGUGUGUAGGCGGCCAGGAAAGUCGGAUGUGAAAGCCCCGGGCUCAACCCGGGAAGUGCAUUCGAUACUGCUUGGCUAGAGUCUCGGAGAGGUUGGUGGAAUUCUCGGUGUAGAGGUGAAAUUCGUAGAUAUCGAGAGGAACACCGGUGGCGAAGGCGGCCAACUGGACGAAGACUGACGCUGAGACACGAAAGCGUGGGGAGCAAACAGG
RNAcentral lists this ribosomal RNA (253 nucleotides) under uncultured bacterium. RNAcentral describes it as "partial 16S ribosomal RNA". It matches the Rfam family "Bacterial small subunit ribosomal RNA", at positions 524 to 776 of the family's 1533-position model. The record is from RNAcentral.